CCUGUGUGACUGCGUACCUUUUGUAUAAUGGGUCAGCGACUUAUAUUCUGUAGCAAGGUUAACCGAAUAGGGGAGCCGGAGGGAAACCGAGUCUUAAUUGGGCGUUAAGUUGCAGGGUAUAGACCCGAAACCCGGUGAUCUAGCCAUGGGCAGGUUGAAGGUUGGGUAACACUAACUGGAGGACCGAACCGACUAAUGUUGAAAAAUUAGCGGAUGACCUGUGGCUGGGGGUGAAAGGCCAAUCAAACCGGGAGAUAGCUGGUUCUCCCCGAAAGCUAUUUAGGUAGCGCCUCGUGAAUUCAUCUCCGGGGGUAGAGCACUGUUUCGGCUAGGGGGCCAUCCCGGCUUACCAACCCGAUGCAAACUGCGAAUACCGGAGAAUGUUAUCACGGGAGACACACGGCGGGUGCUAACGUCCGUCGUGAAGAGGGAAACAACCCAGACCGCCAGCUAAGGUCCCAAAGUCAUGGUUAAGUGGGAAACGAUGUGGGAAGGCCCAGACAGCCAGGAUGUUGGCUUAGAAGCAGCCAUCAUUUAAAGAAAGCGUAAUAGCUCACUGGUCGAGUCGGCCUGCGCGGAAGAUGUAACGGGGCUAAACCAUGCACCGAAGCUGCGGCAGCGAACGUAU
This 628-nucleotide ribosomal RNA is filed under the name Salmonella enterica. RNAcentral's name for it is "partial 23S ribosomal RNA". It matches the Rfam family "Bacterial large subunit ribosomal RNA", at positions 588 to 1217 of the family's 2925-position model. Lineage: Bacteria; Pseudomonadati; Pseudomonadota; Gammaproteobacteria; Enterobacterales; Enterobacteriaceae. The record is from RNAcentral.